CUCAUUUAAGGGUUUGCAGUGGAAGCAAGGAUGCUUUGCUAGAGAUCCCUGCCUGCCUGAGGCCUUCUAAAGGAUUAGGGAAGGAAAUACUGAAAUAAUGCCUUAUCUGAGAAGACAGAGGAGGUGCAGUAGUUAUGCUGCAGCUGACUUAGAAUGCGUAAACAAUUAAAAGGAAAACAUGUGAGUAUUAUAGUUAAGAAAGAAAAAGUAGGUAAGGUAAGCAUUUGUUCCAUGUACAAGAUUGGCUUUUUUAGUACUUAUCAGACAAAUUACAUCUAUUAUCCCUGUUUAUAUCAUGACUUCUGCCCAAAGGGCACUCUCUCAGUGCUCUCUCUCUGAAAACCAUCAGGCACUCACCAGGAAUUCUUGUGGAAGUAAUUGCUCAGAGUUGGCCAGGUCAGUAUGUUUUCCCAAUGCUCUCUGUGCAGCCUCUCUCAUUCCAGAGUCUCAGCUCAGGCUAUUUCCUACUCUGACCAGGAGAAGGCCUUUUUUUUUUUUUUGUCCUUACAGGGAUAUAGAAAAAAAAACAACCAAAGCCAAUCCACUCUCCUAUAUGUAGUGAUAGUGUCAUAGAAUCAUAGAAUGGCUUCAAUUGGAGGGGACCUUAAAUAUCAGCUGAACAGUUCUGUGAUUCUAUGGAUGUUUGUUUUAUUGGUCAUAAUUUUAUUGAUAUUUAAUUAUCACAGGGCAAUUGAGAGGUAGGGCAUAUUACUAAAUCUGCUUGCUACAAACCAAAUUCUUAGGCAGUUUGUCCAUAAAAUAUUUUUCUGUUUUGAAUUGGAGUGAUAUACUUUAAUAUUUCAAGUACUACUCUGAGGAAGAAAGGUGAUCAAGUCAGUGUGCAAACUUGAAUAUACACAUGAACUGUGAAAUCUUCAGGUUUUUUUUUAUGUGAUACAAAAUACAAAAAAAAAAAAACCUACAUGAAGAGAUAGUAUAAUAAUAUUUUAACCAUUUCUGGGAAAGAAUAUGUUUAAGCAGCAGUGAGAUCUAGGAUUAUCAAGCUUCGUGACACCUUUCCUGUCUUGUGGCAUCCUGGAAAAGGGGCACUUAGUAUUCCAGAGUCACUGAAGAAUCAACAGGUAAUUUAGCUGCUGCUAAUGUUUCAUUACCUAACAGUAAUGAUAUUUUAUAUCUGCAUGAGGUAGUCUCCAUGCUGAAUUCUUCACUGUUUUAAUGUCCCAAAGAACAACCAAACAUUUUAGAAUAAUAUAUAAGGUUUAUUUCAUUUCAGAAACAGGAAGUCCCUUAAAGCAAUCUGGUAUGUUCACAAUAGGAAGUACUUUACAAGAGAUGUCAUUAUGUUCAGCUUGAGAUUUCUGUCUCUGAAACAGUCAUCAGUAUAUGACUAUUGGCUGCAUAACAAAUGUGGAAAAAGUUACUUUUAGUGAAUGAUUCAUUUAGCAUAUUUAGAUGUCUAUUUUUAUUAAAUCAAUCGCCCUUCAAAAGAUUUCUUUGCGUAUGAAAUGUUCACAAGCAUAUCUCCUUCUAUCUGUUUGAACUCUGUCCUAUGGCUGUGUGUAUGUGUCUGUAUAUACAAGGAAAUGAAACUGUGCUUCAUUUGAACUGCUCUAUGUCACUAGUGCACUGGAACAGGGCUGCAAAGAUAAGAGAAUGUGCAAAUUAGAAAAAUAAUUUGGAGAAAUAGAGGAAGGAUUGAGAAUUGGUAUUCUAAGGCUUUUCAGAGGAUAUCCAUUAAUUUAUAAAUGUCCUCCCUUCAUGAAUGCAACUGUAACUUUAUUUCCCAGAGUGCUGAGAGAGGAGUAAGAAUUUAUACAUAUGGCUUUGUGCAUGAUUUUCAGCUAUCUUGUGAAGAAAUUUUGAACUGAAGAGGUUGUUUUACAAUGAGAACAUACAGAGGGCUCAAUAAAUUUGAUUGAGAAUUAUAUCCGGUAUAUAUUCAUUUUUUAUCAACUCAGGAAGAAGUUAUAGGAAUAAAAGACUGCUGAUAACAAUGUGUAAAUAAAAGAACAUUGUUUACUGUUCAUCAUUACCAAUGGAAUUCCAAUAGCAGCUAUAAUAUCUGAUGUUUCUCAAAUGAUUAUGGAGUCUUAAUUUUCUGCAAGAAAAUUCUAUUUGCAAAGUCCUCUAAGUCAUCUGUAUAUAUUUACUACCUAUGUGAUGUAUAACUAAACCAUUGUCAGCAUGGGAAGAGUUGAUUAUUCUUACUGUCAGUAGUGCUAAUUCAGUGGCACAUCCUGAGAAAUUUAUCUGCUUUAGAAAGUAGAACAGUCUUGAGCUGGAAGUUAAAGUACUGGACCCCUCACAGUCCUUCCACCUGUAUUACUCCAUGAUUUAACAAACUUGCUGUUUCGUUUUCAUAUUUUCUGCUAAACCAGUUUGAAAGAAAAUACACUAUUUAUCCUCUACGACAUAUUAAAAAUAAAAAUUAUAUAUUGAUUGCUGUGAAUUGUUUAAAAUAUGAAUGGAAUUAUAUUAAGUUGGCGUUUUUUGUGAAGCUUUCUGAACUGUUUCUGACACUAUGAAUUUUCAUACUGCAAUUAGUGCAAAACUCAGUAGUUUCAUGCAGUUUUUCUAACAGAGCUAACAAUUGUUUUCUAUCUGAUACAGGAUUCAUUUACUUGCGCUGAUAUCCCUUCAAGGGAACAUUUUCCUGUUAAUAACUUUCUGCUGUUAUAUUUAAAGAUACUGGUUUUUAAAGGAGAAAAAAAUUGUUGUUUUUUUUAGCUCCCUGAAAAGUAGCUAAGAGAAAAAAAAAAACACUCGUCAUUUUAUCUUUGAAGUGAAACCUUUGUGUAAGUAUGAGUCAUUUGGAUUUUCUGCAUACUGAAGUAAAGCACUUGUAUGCUGUAAUGCUGCGGAUAUAUAUUAUUUGAAUUACAACUUCUGUAAAAUUGAGCUUCUGUAAAGGUUUAAACCAGUGAGAGGAAUUGAAGGUAUUUUAAUGUGUCCUUUCCUGAGGCACCUUCUAAAUGAUGACAAAUAGUGAUAGGAUUAAACUUCUAUUAGACUACACUUCAUAGCAUAUGAAGCUGUAGUCUAGGGAUACUGCGAAAGAGUAAUGAAAAGUCAUUAAACUUUAAAAGAGAAUGAGUUUUCUUUUAUAUGUUGAGAUGCCAUUAUACACUUGAUAUGUUCAAGUGUCUUUCCAUGGUUUCAUUAUUAACCUUCAUUUUCAAGAACUUUCUAGCUCAACCAUUUAAAAUCACGUUACAAAUGCAUCUUAUCUGUACGAAUGCAUACACUCUGGUUUUGUUUGAAAAUUUGGAUAUACUUAGUCUAAAUAAAUUGACAUUAUUGGCUGAGGGUCAGACAGUGCCAGCAGUUUGAUAAGAUGAUGUUCUUCAAAUCUCAUGUGCUGCACUGGUUAUGUUAAGGUCAAAUUUGAACAAUGCAUAGUUAAAAAUAAUGGGUCAAACUUUUCUGUCAUCCACUGCAGUCUGUGAAAUAACCAAAUGUUUGAAAAACAAACAAAAACAAAAAAACAAAAAACCUAGUUAGAAGAGAUAAUUAGAAGAAAAAUUCCAACAAAAAAUGCAAUUAAAGGUAUAUGAGAGCUGCAAAUAUGCCAUAGACUGAAGUCAGUCAUGGCUUAAAACUCUUCUGAGUAAUUCAGGCCAGUGAUUAAUUUUAAAAUGGAUUGCCCAUGAGCUUGAUCAGUGAAUAUAUGUGCUUAUUUUUAAUACUUAACAUAUUUUUCACAAUCUUAUUGGAAUCAUUUUAUUUAUUUUACCUUCACCCAUCAAGUUGAAACCUUGUUUUGCUGCUUUCAUUUUCUCAUGAGUUACUCAUUAACUAUAUUCCCUUAAAAAGCAACGAAAUGCAAAGAAAGGUAUAUAAUAAUUCACAAAAUUAUUUGAAUUUUAACAUUUGUUUUUUAAUGCAGGUUUUUAAUUUUUUAACUAGAAAAGCAGUCAUUAUUAGCAUUUCUAUUAACUGUAUAUACUCCUUCUCUCUUCGUCCAUCUACUAGCAGCAUUUAUCCCUAGAUAUCAGAGUUUACAGUAAAAUUAAGUGGUUCCUGAUUAGAACAUUUGACAUCAAGAUAUUGUUAAACGCCCUCAUUAUGAAUCAGUAAAUGAGAAGUUGCUGUGUUGGGAGUCCUUUUAACAAUACUUUUACUGGAAACGUAACAGAAAAAGUCAAUGCAUAUACUUGUUUCCAGAUGUCAGGUUAAGAAAACUAAUUUGAAAGUAAGAGUGUCAUUGAUUGCCAAAAUUUACAGAUACUUUCUUGUUCUAUGUGCAGUUUUACUAGCUAUCCAGUAACCAGCUGUCUUAAACUCCAUAUAUAUAGGUUUCUAUGAAGUAAUGUAGUAGAAGAAGGUAUCUCUUGGGCCUGACUUUUGUUCCUUGGUAUUGCAGAUGAGCACAAUUUACAAUUCUUUUCAUAAACUGAUAAAGUUUCUUUUAGAAGUAGUAAAUUUUUUAUCCUGCUUUGCAGAAAAAAUUGUUCUGGAAAUGCAAACACUUUCAUUGCUUUCAACAUUCUUAUUUCUAUUUAAUCGUGACUGAUUUUUACCAGUAUCAUACUUCCUUAAGUUCUGUUUUAUUUACCAUGAAAUACUGAACUUCAAAAGUCAAUUUUUGAGAUAAACAGACUUCUAAAAAUCUUAUAUAUGUAACUUAUAGCUAUUUCUCCAUAUAUCACUGCCACCUCUAUUUUAUAAAUGUGUUAUUUUGCCUCUGAUAAACAUUAACUGAGUUGUACUUCAUGACCCUCAAAACAUAUUUAUUUUGCUGUGUGUCAGAAUAACUGCAUAAUGUGUUCUUCAACAUUUCUUUUACAGUUUCUAUUGACUUUGCAUUUCAGCAUGACAUUUACUGUUGCCAGGUCUAUCAGCAUAUUCUGAAAUGAAAGUUUGGCCUUCUAGUCGGAAUAAGAAAGUGGUAUCUUGUAAUAUAAAGUUACAUCGAAAUACAUUCCCAUCUUCAUAAAAUACAUUUUAUCAUCUUUUCAUACCUGUCUGCUUUGAUAAAUUUCACACAAAUGACUAUUUUUCUCAAAUCUAUUUCAAGGAGAAUGUAAAUAUUCAUGAAUUCAUCUCACCAAUAUUAAUUUGCUGGCGUUUUAUUCACAUAAUAGAGAAUCUCUGAUGCAUCUGUAAUAAUAUCACAUGCUUUUUCAACUUGACAGUGGUAAAUGAGGUCCAGGAAACAUAUGCUUCUUUCAUUCAUAGAACUUAGAGUGAUAAUAAAUUAUUACAAUCAGUUAUAAUAAUUUAUUAGUAUAUGAAAGAAAAGAAUUCAUUCAGAAGGGAAUUGCAAAUAUAUCCCUCUUUAAUUCAUCUUUUCAGUGUGUUAAUAGUAGAUGAAUUAAAAAUGUUGUAUACUCAGUUCUGUGGUCAAUUUUGAUAAUUUUGAUAUUUGUUUCAUUCUGAACAGGGGAGAGAAGAAAAAUGAAACAUAAAAGUAGUCUCAUGAGUAGUUUUUAUAGGUCCAGUUCAGAAAUGCUUGUCACUGAGUCAGGUGGCUGGGUAUGGGCUGGUUUGGUGCAGCCUGUCUGCUUAACUGGAGCACUGCAACAGAAUGUAGUAGCAGUCCUCUGGAAAUACAUUACAUUACCUUGCAUUGUCUCAAGAAUUUGUUGGUUCAUAAUACCUCAAACCGUACUCAGUUCAUGGAUUUAAUUUCUUCACAGUUCUCCAACAUAUAUUAUAGAUUUGUAUAUUAAGAAAAAAAUGCACAUAUAUUCUUUGAUCAGAAUUCCUUGUAUUGCUGCUUUUUAUUUGGGUAAGCUGUGGCAAGAGAACGUUUGUAUGCCUUAAUCUUUCUGCAUACAGUAAAUUUUCAGGAACUGAGUAUUGCUGUUUGGAUUUAUAUUUCAUCAAGAAGGGUUUGUCUGUGCUAUAACAUACCGAAGUAUCUGCUAUAGUAUUCACGUGAAUUUACAUAAACAAGCUACUCUGAAGAUUAAUGAAAAUGCUACCUCACAGCCUACUCUUUCCAGUAGAAACUCAUCUAUAAGAUAAUUGUUGCGUUUACUACUGUGCGGCAGAGCAGUAAGAACAAGAAAUGUUUAUUCUUAUAAUGUUUACUCUGCAUCCAGGAAAAGGAAAAAAACAUUUAUUAGGGCUAAAUCUGUAAAUAUUGAGAGGAUAUGCCUCCCCUGUGUCUUCUCUUCAAAACUCAUUCAUCACCACACAGCCUAUAUUUUAUUCAGUCAUAAGCUAUACAACUGAUAUAUUGAAACAUACAUGAACAUAGUAUACCAGCUACUUUCCCAGUAAUAAGUUUUAUACAUUACUUUCUACAGUCUUGAAAAUCUAGAGCAGUAUGUCUGAAACAAAGCCAUGAUUAUGUAACAGUGCUUGCUUUGAAAACUUAGUAUAGGAAACUAGGUCAGGAUGCAUUCAUAGAUGCUAAAUCCUGUAAUAAGUGCAGUCAUCUUAUGAGCAGCCUCCAUGAAUCUGCUAGUAAUUUUCUUUACAUUAAUAUUGCAAACAAUUGAUAUCUCUCUAGACUCUCUGUAGAGAACCAUUGCAAAUCAGAUCUAUAAAGGGUAUUGGAGGAGAACAGCAUUAAGUAUGAAGAUAUUUUGCUUCUGUGGGUUUGGUGAUAGGGAGCCAUACUUUAUAGCUGGAUAUCUGUUGAGUAUAAUUGAGAUAUAGCUAAGUAACAGAAACCAAAAAUGCAGCACUAGAUGAGUGUCUGCAGUUAAAUACACUUUGUUGUAGAAAACUAGCACAGUACAUCAGAUGAACUAGAACUACUCUUCCUCUGGCACAAAAUGUUUCUGACAGGAAUGUAACACAUAGAAGCAAAGCCUAUAAACAAAGACAAAAAGAAUAUAGAAACAACUGCUGCCAGUUUUGGAACAGAGUAUGUUGAGUGAUUUAUUUAGAAAUCACUGCACUGUAUUUCUCAGUAUUUACUGUAUAAAACCAUAGCUCUGGGUCAUGAAAAGUUAUUCCAUGUGUACUUUUUUUGGAUGUGUUUGUGUAUUUCAUAUUGGUUCCAAGGUGAUGAAAGAAUUAACAGCAAUACAGAAAUUAAUAAAUUUCAGCUAUGUAAUCUUUCCACUGCUAAAAUCAUUCUUGCGCAAAUACCUUUGUUAUAGUCCUGUUAAGGAGCUUUAUGUUCCUCUAUCAAACAUUCUUGUUACCAUCAGAAAGACUAAGCAAUAAGUUUCUAAACUAAGUCCCUGCUUAGCAUUUCAGUGGCUUUUUUGGACUAGCAUCUUACUUGAAGAAAAUGUAUAAACCUUUUCUGUAGUAACUAGACUAUUGUACAGUGAAGAUUUUGGGGUUCACAGAUGUGGGGGGAAAAAAAGAAAUGCCAGAGAGCCUGUGCUUCUCAGCAGCCCUGAGCUGGCAUAUUUCUAGUCAGUGUGAUCUUGGCUUCUGUCCUUACUCCUGUACAUGUUUCUGUACUCUAAACACUGUGUGAAUUGCCAGCCACGAGCUUGGCACUUUCCUUCUUUCUUUCCCAAGUAUUGCAUUUGUUGCUGCUCAUUCCCAGAACGGAGCUGGCUACAGAGACCUUAGCGUAUAGUCUGUACUACAAGCUUUGCAAUAACAACAGUGCAGCUUGAGUGUCUAUGAGAAAUCAUCCUGUAUAUCCACCUUGCUCCAUGACUCUUCUAUUACAGAAUUGUGUAGUGCAUACAAAUAAAAUUUGUAUUCAAAUGAAAAAAUACACUUUUAAAAAGGGGGUGGCUUCAGUACUUAGUUUCGGAAACGCAUUCUUGGUGCAAACACAGUUCAACAAAGGCACCUUUAAGUCUAAACAGAAAUUGCUUCUCUGUUUUCUGCUGAUUUGUUUUCAUAACUUACAGCCUAGCGCUCUGAGCUACCUCUCUGAUUCUCACAGAGAAAUACUCAGCUUUGAGCUGUGUGUAUUACUGCAUCAGUCAGGCAGGAUGGAUAUCCAACAACCAGCCCUAGUAAAAUUCAGAAACAAUGUAAUUUUUUGUUUGUGCCUGAAAAAAAAAAGAAAAAAAAAUGAGAGGAAAAAUCAAUGUAUCAAGAAAAUAAAGCACGUAGUUAUGUGAAAUUCAGUCACAGCUCUAAUGAAUAUAAGGAAUACUUAAUUAACUAUGUUUUGUUUAGUGUAACUGUACAUAUUAAUCUUCACAAAGAGGUACACAAUUUGAGGAUACUUGCUGAAGUGAGUGUGUGUGUGUGUGUGAGAGAGAGAGGGAAAAACAGAGGUGAUACCAAUUUAGUUUAAACCAGUGGUGAUUUAUUGGUGUUUUUACUCCAUCUUUACACAGUUUUUACAAUGAAGUCUAUCAGGAAAUAAUACUGAGGUGCAUAUGAAUUGGAGAUAGAUGGAAGCAUCAAUUUUGUUAAUUAGCUUCAUAAGGGCAUUGUGAAAUUCUACAGUGUAUUUGACCUUUUCAGAUCUGACAUCACUAUUAGGAGAUUAUCAAUGUCUCAAUCAUUUUAACUUAUAAAAUUGUCUUCGUUAUAAAUGAAUAUAGAUGUAAGGCCAAUGAGGAAAGUGAAAAUCAGUAUUAAAAAUAUGAUCUUGUGACUGCCCACUACAGUUGCUUCUUCAAACCUUAUGUGUUUUUUUCUUGUAAAUGAAUUUCAUAGCUGUCAUCCUGAUAUAUUGAUUUGUGCAAAAUAUACCUCAAAGCUCUCUGGCACACUACCUCACCAAAAAUAACAACACAGGGGGAGGAAAAAUUGCAGAAAAUUGACAUUAAGGACAGCAAAAAUGUGUCAGUAGAAUGACAAAUUUAGUUUGAUUGGGCUUCUCAUGCAGUCUGUAUAGGAAAUUAUGCAUCUAAUUAUCUUUUAAAAUGGCUUGUAUUAUACCAUGCAGUAUUAAAUGUAGCCUGAAAUGAUGUCCUUACCACUGCAUCUUAGGUGAUUUGCUAGCUGAUGUUGCUUAGAACUAGUGUCUGUGUUUGGUAAUUUUUAUUCCACGCUUCUCUAUCUGCAGAUAUUCAUAUUGCAUGCUUGAUAAUUUCUCAGAACUUUUUUUUUUGAGAAAUUGAGCACCUUUCUCCAUAAAUCUGUAACUUUUCCUACACAUUAAAGAAAAAGAAGUUUGCAUCUAUAUGGCUGUGUCUGCAUGAACUGCAGAUACAGAUGUAUUUUGCUCUUUCCCUUGGGCUUAGAUCAAGACAUAACUCAUUUUAAAAAUGUUUCAAGGGAAGAAAAUUCUAUUGUACCUGAAAGAAUGAAAAAGAAAAUAGAAAAUUAAACCAACAGUCACUCUCCGAGGUGAUCAGGGGAGAUCCAAAGUUUUCACAGAGAUGCACCAGGAGCCAGCAGCUCUUUGGAGAACCUCUGAUUGAGGUAUGAGCAUAGCAGGGAGUAAUUGUGGGCAUUAUCUGCGCACUCAGACAACAGCCUUAGCAAGUGUCAUUCUGCUGCUUGAGUGAGAGGCUUGAAAUACACAUAAACCAGGAACCAGGAUUAUUCCAUGACCAUCUGCGCUGCUCAAGGGCACUCAUUCCAUAUGGCCCUCAGGGCAAAACUGUGGACAGUCACCUGAGAUCAUAGGCUCACCAUCUGCUGCCUAUCCCCAGGCUGAUGACUUCUCCUGGACAGAGCUGCUGAGGGGAGAAGCUGCUGUGCAGAGCAUAGACUGCAGGAAAUGCCUAUACCUUUCUCCUGUAGCAGGGACAGGCAACAUAGCUGCCUCCAGAAAGGGCGACCAAGUAGAGGACCUCUUCAGUUAGGGGCUGAGCUGCAGGAGUGCGUAAGGCUGCAUGACAUCAGGGAGGCAGAAGAGGAUCUAGAUAUCUGAUUCUGCAAACCUUCCCCCAUUAGCACAAAGGAGGGACAAGGCUUCCAUCUGCAGGGCCCAGCAGGAUGAGAAGACAUACCCCAAAGCCUGUGGUGAUGCUGCAGAACUGUUAUUCCAGAUAAUGGAUCGCAUUCCGAUGAAUUAUCAGUGACAACUUAAAAAAAAAAAAUCAUGAAAAAUAUAGCCUUCAGUUAUUAGAUGCUUGGAAAGAAGAACAACUGUAGUUUUGCUGCCUAGUCUUUUCCAGUGUAAAUCUGUUUUGACCUAAACCUGAGGAAAAUUGAAAGAAACAAAAGCCCACAUUAAAGGGAGUACUGACAAUGAAAUAAUAGCAUUUAAGGGAUUGAUUUAAAAUCUGGCACUUAGAAAUAUUUUGCUUCACAUUUUCAGGAAAGCUUUUAGCUUAUUUAUAAAGUCUCUGAAUUCUAAUUUUGUAUUCAUGUCACUACACUGCCUUUCCCUUUGUUACUUGUAUUCAUUUACUCUAAGUACUUCAGAAACAAAAAUUAGCAUUAAACCUUGGCAUGUGUUAAAAGCACUAUAGGCAAAAAAAUUCUACAACCAGGGUAUUCAUUUUCUCUUGGAGAUGCUUCAAAGUUCUUCCAAAUUAAUAAGAUUUCUUCUUUCCCCUCUUCAAGGCGAAUAAGGAAUUUUUGGAAACCAGGUCUUUUCUCUUUUAUUCCUCCUGUUUGGGAGAAAGGGAGAGUGGCAUUUCUAGAAUUAAGGUCUAAGUAACUUCAAGGUAACAACAAUUCUUGCAGUGUAGUCUGUGCUUUCAUGGGCAAAGUUCUCGAUUGCAUAAAUAAUUUAUAAAGGUUUAUCCCUAGGUAUUUAGAAUGGCAAUUGACAAAAGUGCUUAAGUAAUUUAGAAGCCCAAAUCCCCUGCCUACAUCCAAGGAAACAUACUUUAGGAAUCUAACUUUAGGAUAUAUAUAUUUUUUAUAUAUUAUGAUCCAAUUCUUAAAAGUGAGACAAAAUAGAGAAGCUAUAGUUCAUGCUGUAGAUAAAAAUGUUAGUCCAGCUGCUUCAAAGCAUCGGCAGCAACUCCUUUCUCUUUCCUUAAUAAAAGGAGACAGGUUAAAACCAUAAAAUCAUAUCGAAAUUUACAUAAUGCCAAUAAACGAUGCUAAAGAUGGAUUUAGCAUGGUUAAAGGGGGUUACGUACAUUGUGUCUAUAUUAUAUAGCCAUAUAGUAAAAAGUUUUAUAGUCUGCUAGAAAUAUGUCUAUUGGCCUAGACAAGGUAGAUAAGCUAAUGACUUUUAGUAUGGAAAUUCAGUUUCACUCACCCUUAAGACACUAACAGUAUAGCAUACUCUCUGCUCAUAUUAAAAAGCCUGCUUUCUGAAGAGCUGGAACAGGCAAUGUUAAAUGUAUGAAACUGAUUAAACUGUAUAUAGUGAAAGAUAUGGGUUCAUCAGUAACAUGUAAUGGAGGUUUAUGUCAUAGCUAAAAAAAAAAAAGAUAAAAAUCCAUGAUAUAGAAAAGAAGCAGGAAUAGUUUAUUUUGUUGAGGACUUAUGUCUUUAUCACUAAUCUUUUUAUUCUCUAGCUCUGCUUCAUAAAUCCAGUUACAUGUCCUUCUAGAAGAAUAAAGUGAACUGUAAUGACAUUUCAUCUAUGGAAAGUCAGACCUGGUUGAAGUCCCUUCUGCUUAUAAAUUCUACAGAGGUCAUAGUCUACUGUUGUCUAGCCUUUUAAAUAUUCAUAUAAAUGUUUGGAUAAUCAAACUGUACAUCUCUGUAUUGCAUAUUUUUUUCUAUUAGUAGUAAACAGAAUGAAGUUCUUAAUGUUGAUAAGUGGGCAAGUGGAAAAUGACACAACUAGUAGAGAUUCAUUCUUUAGGUCUGCUCUUCUGAAUGUUGAAAAGGAACAAAAGAAAAUUCAAUUUUGAAAGGUAUUUAAUGAUCUUCCUUGACAGAUAUAACAUCUGAGAACUGUUAAUUUUUAUGAAAAUUAGAGAAGGCAAUUCACAUAUAGUGGGAAAAUGACUACACUCUUACAAGUCUAAGGAUAAAUGCUUAAAUGAAGGUACUAUAUGUUUAAAAAGCAGGUAAAUCAAAGGUCUACACAGAACUGUGUGCUUUUACACAAGAUAUGUUAAAAGGAAGAAAAAUAUUUAUUUAUUUUGAUUGUUUUUCUAAGCCUAAACUUAAUGUUUUCAAUUACAAGAUCUGCUUUAUAACUGAGUUAGCUAGAGAAAUCAUUAUUUGGCUGAAGUGUAGUGGCCUCCAUUGAGUUAUUAAAACCUAGUUAAAGUACAAAGAGCACAGUUCUGCAUAUGCAUGUGGUUAAGAGUUAAUAUUUCAUAGUUUUUGUGCUUCUGUAUACUCGGGUCACUCUGAAAAUAAUUUCACUUUAUUUCCAUGCAAAAAGCUACAGAUACAAAGAGCAAAAUAACACUACUUGCUAGGGCAAAUUCUUAUCUACAAAACGUAGUUUUUCAACACAGGCACCACUAUUAGUUCUGUAUUUUUACCAUGAAAAAGAGCCUAUGUGCAGUGCUUGGAAAAAAAAAAAAAAAAAAACUGUAUCAGCACAGACUGACCCACUGUUUCAUAGCUGCUAUGACAGCAUCACUGCUUGAAAAAUGUCCAUGAUGUUCAUCUUUCAUCAGCCCAAACAGGUGAAAAGGCUCCAAAUCUAGAUUAUACAGUGAGUGUGAUAGGGCAGUCCAGCUGAGAUUGGCAAUGUGCUCCAAACUGGUAUGGCACCUGACAUUAUGAAGUUGCAAGAGAAAGGUGGUCUUCUCUGGCCUGAUUCUGGAAGUUUGAGCCUUCGGCUCAGCCAGUGUCAUGAUGUAGCAGUGACAAUUAAUGGUUUGUACAGGUCACAGAAAAUCCAGCUGGAUCACCUCUUACCUAUUGUGCAUCACUUUACCCACUGAGGGAUGCAUCUUGAAGAUUUUCUUCAAUGGGGAGUUCACAUGUUGCUGCUGCCUUUUUGACUCCAGCUUGUAGUGGUGACAUCAUGUCUCCUCUAAUGAUGUGAUCCAGGAAACUGUCACCUUCAGUCCUAUAUUGGUUCAGCAGGUCCAAAUGAACUUUCCUGCUCCUAUGUGAACAUCCACCUGGCACAGAAUUUGUGAUAUUCCAGUGUUACCACCGUUGUUUCUCCAGCCCUUAUUCAGCUUUGUAAAUGGUUCCCUGGUCAUAAACUGCUGAUGGUGGAAGUGAGAAGAUUGUGAUGUUCUUCAUUUCAUAGGGUGACAGCUGCCCAUGGUUUUCUGGAACGUGGCUCGUCUUUCUUGUUGCUGUUGCGUAAAUUCAACAAAAUGUAAUGAAAUAUUGUUAAGAAAGUUCAGCCUCUACUGCCAUACCACCAACAUCUGUCUCUGAUAUUGUGGGCUAACAUAAUAAAAUAGGAGGCAUUACCUUUGUAGCAGCUCUCAUAUUUAGAAUGGAUGAUGGUUUUUACAAUGGAAUCUAUUAACUUUGCCAAAAAUAAUAGCAUAAUUCUUAACAGGCAUAAAAAAUGUUUAGAAUUUAUUCUCUUUAGGGUGAAAAUUGAUAGGUUAUUUCUGCAGUAUUGUGUAGUUUUUGAAUGUCCCUGAUUGGGAGUUUUUAUUUUAAAAUGUUUGGUAGUCAGGGGAUCAAUAUAUGCAUCACAGUACUAACUGUAAUUCAAUCACAGACAGAUUAGGUCUGUAAAGACCUUCUGGAAAUAAUUUAUUCUAAUGUUUGCUCAAAGCAGAGUAAUAUUCAAUUUAUUUGGAGGUAUUAUUGACCAAGGUUUUAAAAAUCUCUUACAAUAGAAUAUCCCUAGCUUCUCUGGGCAACCUUUUCUGUCUUUGCCCAUAUUGAAAGGUCCUUCCAAAGUACUUUUUAAGCAAUUAAACUGAAAAUAGUGAUUUAAAUGAAGACUUGUCCUGUUUCUAAAACAGCUUUAAUCCUUGUUUGUUUGUUUGUUUCUGCUCCUCUUUAAUGAGGAAAAUCAUUGUUUCCUUUUUAACUGCCAUGGCACAAUGAACUAAUAUCGCUACUGAGCUUACAUGCUUUUUCUUAAUUGAAUACCUCAGUUUGCUCAUCUGUAAAAUCUCUAAUAAAGUACUUUUCCUUACUCACAAGGGUGUUAUAAGAUCUAAUGGGAUAAUAAUGUGCAGUACUCAAUAUCUGGAGAUAAUAGGUAACGUAUAAGUGCAAAGCAUUAAUUAUUAUUAUUAUUGUCCCUCAGAGCAUGACUUUAAAUCCAAAAUUGGCAAAAAAAAGGUUUAGCCUGUCUUUUCUUAACAAAUUUGGUUUACUAAGACUUAUGUUCAGCAACGUACUGCAAGUCUCAUAUUCACCCUCACGUAGGUCUACUUAGUUUUCUAGAGUUGAUAAAAUAUAGCACAUUUAGCUCUAGUAUUCUAUUGAGAAGUUAGGAGGAUUUUCUUUCAGUAAGUAAUGAAUUUUUUACACUUGAUUAAGAGAAAGUUCUAUGAAUACAUGUCUUUCCUUAUUAUUUUGGUAUUCUACAAUGUUAAUGAGAGUCCAGAUCUAGGUUCUUAACCUUAUAUUUAGGCAUCUGUAACACACACAUUAAAAAAAAAAAAAAUGCUGACUGUUAAGUUAUAUCUAGAAUUCAAAUUAUACUGAUACAUUGAAUCAGGACUGAGUGUUGUUUUGGAGAGAUCCUUCUGGAGUGGUCCAUAGGAAAGCAAAUGAGAAGUACUCCACUUCUGACUCUUGCUUUCCAAAUGAUGUGUCCUAGCCACUGGAGGAGCUGGAAUUGGAACUUCCUUAGCCGAAGUUGUGACUAGAAAGAUUUCAAGGGAAAAAAUAAGGUCAGUGGGAGUAUGACUUAGAAUUGUAGUAUUUUUGGUAUGGUAUUGUGCCUGUUUUUCAUUACAUGCAUUUUAGGUGGAAAGGAAAGAAACAAAAGAAAAGCAAACCUGAAGAAUUAAAAUAAUUUUCCAGACUAAUUAUGUCAUUUUCCACUUGGCAAAAUUAUUCAGUGUUCACUUGACAGCAUUGAAAACUUCUGUUUACUACUGAUAUGAAGAAGCAGAGGAGUUGUAGAAUCAUAGAAUGGCUUGAGUUGGAAGGGACCUUAAAGAUCAUCUUGUUCCACCCCUCCCCUGCAGAGGGUGGGGUUGCCAACCACUAAGUCAGACAUUAGUUCAGGUUGCUCUGGGCCCUAUACAGUGUGGCCAUGAACACUUCCAGGGACGGGGGAAUCUACAAAAUCUCUGGACAGUCUGUUCCCAGAAGAAGCAAAUAAGUGUGUAAGAUCUGGAUGUUUUUAGAAGCUCUUCAGUCUGGAAGCAUUGCUGGUUGUUCAAUUUACAUUCUUAAUGUAGCUGAGGGGUGACAGAGUAUUCAAAAGCUUUGUGUAAUUCCUUUCUGGAACAUUUCUGAAAUAAUACAAUUCAGGAAUAUUCAUUAGGGGAUAGGGGCUUAGGAAGUGAUGACCAUUUCAUGUUGAACUGUUCAGAGUCAGAAUCAAUUUACAUACCCUGAUCUCAGGACAAGCUUAGAUAGACUCUGGACAGAAGCAACAGCAUGUCUAUUCACCUAGUUGAUUCUGGGACUGUAGGAAAUCUAUAAAAAUCAUCAAAAAGAGUUCAUCUUAAAUUGUUUUAGAUAUUUCUUUUCUAAUUACUUUUCAUCUUGUUUUCUUUUCCCUUAUCUUGAGGGAAUUUUUUUUUUAUUACAUUAGCAUGGCCACCUUAACUGAGAUAUAAAUAUGGUGACAAAUUUUGUCAAAACUAUACAAAAUUCAAUACUGCAUAUUAAAAACUAAAAUAAGUAUCUGUAAGUAAAUAUUAAAUCCUUAAAAAAGGGAAUGCUUCAUUGACAAAAUAUUCUUACUGUUCUUAUACAUUACCGUAAUUAAGAACUACGUUCUCUUGUUUGAUUGUGUGCUCUCUCUCUUUCUACAGUUAAAGGGUGUUUCUAUAUAUUGUUAAAGGGUCUUGUUUGUGUUUUGUUGUUGUUGUUGUUGUUUUGUUUUUUGAAAUCGAGCAAUGAAAAGUAUUUCCAUCAUUUUCAGUAUCUUUCACAUCUUCAAAGCAAAACAACAGACAUGAUUUAGUAUGUGGCUCAUCUGAAGCAAAGAAAAUUAUAACACCAAGACUAUUAUAUGGACCAAAGAAUAAAUUACACAGUAUAAGCAAUAUCACCUUUGGAGACUGAUUCUUAUGUUCACACCAUGAGCAAAUCUUGAUAAUGAAGGCAGUUAACCACAGCUUCACUUUUUCUCACACUCCAUUUUUUAGAUAUAUUUUUAAAUCAAAGUUUUGAAAUUUACUAGCCACUGUUAACUAUACAAAUUUCAAGUAAGCACACAAUUUUUUAAUGUAUGAUUGCAUAUUUUGUGCCGAAAUUGUGAAUUCUAAAUGAUUUUAAGUUCUCUUCAUAGUUCUACCCCAGUAGAUUCUAGCCAGUUAUAUCCUCUUUCUGUCAAUCUCAGCUUUUCUAAAUCUUCUUAUCCACAAAUGUCAGGCCUCUUCAUCUACUCAUUUCUGUCACUCCAAGCACUUACGAACAGUCUGAUUAAUUAGAAACUUACAAUGCAUCGUGGACUUUCUCUUUCAGCUAGGUGCUGCCUUUAUUUUAGGUAUUGCACAGAGAUGAAUGUCUUAGCAAUACUAUAUGAAGUAGAGUGAGUCAGUCAAACUAAACUGAAAAAAGCAUCACUUUCACAGAAGAAGGACUUUACAUCUCAGCUGUACUAACAGAUUAAACUAAAAAGCUGACAGGUUAGCACUAUAAAACAUAAACUGAUUUUGUACAUGAGGAGAAAGAGGACUGUUCUGUAUUUUUAUCAUACCUGAAAGUACAGAGCAUUAAAAAUUAAAAUUAUAUUCCUGAAUUUUGAGGAAGUAUAUAGCUGUUAGUCAGGAUCAGCAAAUUGUUUAUUUGAUUUUACCUUAUUCUUGUGUAGCUGUUUUUAUCUACCUGUAAGGUUUCCUACUGUGUUUUCAUCAUUCAGAUUUGAUGAAUCUGAACUGAAUUGAUUUUUUAGCUGUGCUGCACGCCAUAUAUAGAGCACAUGUUCAUUCAGGUAUUGAAACGCCUAUUGCUCUGGAGAUUUCCUGAAGUUGAUAUGAAGUCCAAAUAGAAGCCGGAAGAUACAAAGGGAAACUAACUUCAAAUAAAGCUGGCUUCUGCUAUUUUAAACUUCUAAUCAUGUUUACAGAACAGUGUGAAGUAUAGACCUGAAAGUAAAAUAAAAUUGCUGAUAGUUUCAACUGGCAUUUUUUCUCAUCUACUGUGUUGGAUAUAUAUCAGGAAAACCUCUGCAGGUUAUGAGCCUCAGCCUUUUCUAUAGUAGGAAGAUCUCUAGGUUUUCUGAAAUAUUUGCAGCUAUCUUGGCCUUCUGUAUCUUGAGAGAAGGCAUAAGUAUUUCAGAAAUGGGCUUAAAUUUCUUCUCAAACAUGUAGUGAAUGAAAUUUCAUUGUAAAGUAUUGCAAGAAUAUGUAGGAAUAACUGUAUCUUCCUGCCAUGAAUCAGAGAAAACUUCUAUUUCACCUUGAAACAUAGAAGUAAUGUGUUAAAUUCUACUGCUGUUACAUAUGUACGUGUUUAUUUUUUGCAAUAUGCCCUUGGCUUUAUGUGUGUUUUGAAACCAAAAGUUAGUUACUGCAGGUGGUGUAAAGUACAUGAGAUUUAAAUUGAAUAAUUGCUUUUGUUUUCUUUAAAUGAAAAGAAAAGCAACAGAGCUACUUAAAAAUUACACAUUUCACAUUCUUCUGAUUCAUUUGCAGGAGACUGAAUAUCAAGGCCAUUCAAGACAAAAACAUAGAUUUCUGAAGUUAUGAACUAGUGUUAGUUAUUUCUUUAAGAUAGCUGAACACUGUCUUUUGGCUCUGUGAAGUAAAUGUGAUUCAUCAUCCUUUCGUAAGCUGUCAGAGCUUCAUAAUAUGUACCUAUCUUCUGCUCAUACAGCUUUCAGAAUAACAUUAGAAAAAAAAAAUCAUUCAGAGAAAUCUGCAUUCAUUGAUUUAAUAUUAUCCUGGGCUAAGUUGGUAUCUAUUUGUCUGUUCAAACCAUUGUACAAUAAUUAUUAUUUUUCUUAAUUUUAAUAACACUUCAUGUCUUUAAUACAAUUUUUACAAUUUUCAUAUUAACUUUGCUUAAUUUUGUUGCCUGUAAUGUAGUUUUUACUUUGCUGUAGUUUUAAUGAUUGAAGACUAUCAUGCUAAAUUGUAUCUGUGACGUUCAAUAUUCUCUGAUGGUUCCCACAGGAUAAAUUUUUGUGAUAGUUUGAUAUUCAUGGGAUACAUUAAAUAAAAUUAAAAAGUAACAUAAUCUGAUCAAGGUUCUUAAAGAUUUUUAACGGAAUCAAACUGAUUUUUUUUACAUGUUGAUUUUAAAUGGUCAAGAUUUCUUUAUCUUCUUUUAGAAUUUUAUCCUGAGUUCUGAAAUGAAAUGUACCAUCUGUCAGUCGGUAAGGCCCUCCUCAGGAAGUUCAAUAGUACCACUUAAAAUGAAAAGGUUAAUUUCAAACACAAUUUGUAGUAUAUGAUGGCAAGGAGUACUUCUUGCUGUGUGAACUUUCAGAGUGAUGCACCUUGCAAAUUGGAUUAUUUUUUCUAUAACAUUUUCACAAUAAGCUCAAGCACAGUUCAUAAGAUGAAAAAAAUAAUAAAAUGAAAAUAAAAACAAUAAUAAAAAAGAAGUGAUUUGAUCAUAAUGUAAAACUUGAUGUCUACUUCUCCUAGACAGAAUAUAUUUGUAGAACAAUGUCUAGGAAUAGUGAACUUUUAUUUUAGCCUUUUCUGUCUUUCAAUUUAAUUCAAAGACAUAUUGGAAUACAGUCUUUAUUAUAGGGUGCUAUCAGGUUUUCAGUCUAAUUGCAAUAAGAGCUAUUUGAAAAUUAUUUGGAAAAACUCUAUUUAUGAAAUCUGUUCUAGUUUGUAGAAUGCUAACAUUUCAUAGAAACAUCUAGCAUUCAACAAACUUCAGGAUAAUCACCAUGAAAUUCACCUGGUUUGGUAAGUACACUUCUGUCAUCCACAUCUUUCAGAUCCUGUGACUUGUAGCAAAUCAGGGCUUUCAGGAGCCCUAACAAAAAUCUCAAAUCUGGUAGCCUCAGCUGUAUUUGGAAAAUCCCAUCUGCCACUUAGUAUCUAGGCAUCUUUGGUUUUUCAUUGAAGUCAAACAUCCUGGAACUGAAAAGAAUAUAAAUUUCAUGUGAAAACAUUUGCACAACUAGAGUGUAUAUAAACUUGUCAAUACAGUUAUUCCCCA
Long non-coding RNA from Gallus gallus (chicken), 18837 nucleotides. RefSeq lists it as uncharacterized. The record is from RefSeq and is a predicted model, not a curated record. The transcript has 3 exons. NCBI's taxonomy places the organism in Eukaryota, Metazoa, Chordata, Aves, Galliformes, Phasianidae.